RNAcentral lists this ribosomal RNA (468 nucleotides) under uncultured bacterium. RNAcentral describes it as "partial 16S ribosomal RNA". It matches the Rfam family "Bacterial small subunit ribosomal RNA", at positions 28 to 507 of the family's 1533-position model. The record is from RNAcentral.
GACGAACGCUGGCGGCGUGCUUAAUACAUGCAAGUCGAACGGAAAGGCCCUGCUUUUGUGGGGUGCCCGAGUGGCGAUCGCGUGCGUAACACGUGAGUAUCCUGCCCUUGACUUUGGGAUAACUUCAGGUAACUGGGGCUACUACCGGAUAGCAGCUCCUGCUGCAUGGUGGGCGUUGGAAAGUCUCGGCGGUUGCGGAUGGACUCGCGGCUUAUCGGCUUGUUGGUGGGGUAGUGGCUUACCCAGGCUUUGACGGGUAGCCGGCCUGUGAGGGUGAACGGCGACAUUGGGACUGAGAGACGGCCCAGAGUGCUAUGGGAGGCAACGGUGGGGAAUAUGGCACAAUGAGCGGAAGCCGGAGGCAGCGGCGCCGCGGGCGGGAUGACGGCCUUCGGGGUGAAAAACGCUGUCGCCUGUGACGAAGCGGGAGUGACGGUAAUGAGUAAAGAAGCACCGGCUAACUACGUG